Molecule: transfer RNA, 77 nt
Filed under: Dehalobacter restrictus
Lineage: Bacteria; Bacillati; Bacillota; Clostridia; Eubacteriales; Desulfitobacteriaceae
Also listed under: 11 other names
Description: tRNA-Val
Rfam family: tRNA
About the family: Transfer RNA (tRNA) molecules are approximately 80 nucleotides in length.
Source: RNAcentral
GGGUUUGUAGCUCAGCCGGUUAGAGCACCGUGUUCACAUCGCGGGGGUCGUAGGUUCGAAUCCUAUCAAACCCACCA